AUGGGAAGGUGUUUCACCGUUCUGUCACCAUUACAGUCACCAAAGUGGAAGUGUUGCCUAUUAGUUUUGUCUCACUUUUAUUGCAUAGUAAACUGUGUGUACAUUUGUAGGACUAAACUCCUGAACUCUGAAAUGGUUUAUGGCCUGAGCCCCUGGGGUUCUCCCAUCACAAUGACAUUUACUCAGUUUUGCCAGAACACACAUGUUUUUCUUUCUAAAUUUAGAUUUGCAGUCAGCCUGCUUUGUAAACAUGUGGAGAACGACAAAAGUAGAAGACACAAGGAUAUUGCAUGCUCAGUGCAUGUCAGCACAACAUCCACAGAGCUGAAGAAAGGUCGUGAGCCCGUUGUGUCAGACACAGCACAGACACUCAAACUGACAAAAUAAUGAGAAUCAGAUGUUUGUCUCUCCCUUAUUCUGCCUUAAUCGUACAGGAGAACCACGUGGAGGGCAGCUUAUUUUUAACAAGGGGGCCUUAAGAGUGAGCUACAUUAUCCUCGGCUGAAAUAGCUCAUGAAUCCUGCCUUUCCAAAAGUCCUCAUCAAGAAGGGAAGAAUUGCUCAAUAUUUAUGUUCACAUGAGCUCUUGCCAGCUUAUAAAAUGCAGUCCUAGGGAAAAAAAAAUAAAAGAAGCUGAACCAAAAAAAUAAUAAUCUGA
This 657-nucleotide long non-coding RNA is filed under the name Coturnix japonica (Japanese quail). RNAcentral's name for it is "lncRNA (ENSCJPG00005010545.1)". Lineage: Eukaryota; Metazoa; Chordata; Aves; Galliformes; Phasianidae. The record is from RNAcentral.